RNAcentral lists this ribosomal RNA (102 nucleotides) under uncultured bacterium. Its description in RNAcentral is "partial 16S ribosomal RNA". It matches the Rfam family "Bacterial small subunit ribosomal RNA", at positions 415 to 508 of the family's 1533-position model. The record is from RNAcentral.
CCUUCGGGUUGUAAAGCUCUGUCGCCCGGGACGAAAAUCCUUACAGUUAAGAGCUGGAAGGACUGACGGUACCGGGAGAGGAAGCACCGGCUAACUCCGUGC